Molecule: ribosomal RNA, 490 nt
Filed under: uncultured bacterium
Lineage: Bacteria
Description: partial 16S ribosomal RNA
Rfam family: Bacterial small subunit ribosomal RNA
Source: RNAcentral
AUUGAACGCUGGCGGCAUGCUUUACACAUGCAAGUCGGACGGCAGCACAGAGGAGCUUGCUUCUUGGGUGGCGAGUGGCGAACGGGUGAGUAACGCAUCGGAACGUACCGAGUAAUGGGGGAUAACUGUCCGAAAGGGCAGCUAAUACCGCAUACGCCCUGAGGGGGAAAGCGGGGGAUCUUAGGACCUCGCGUUAUUCGAGCGGCCGAUGUCUGAUUAGCUGGUUGGCGGGGUAAAGGCCCACCAAGGCGACGAUCAGUAGCGGGUCUGAGAGGAUGAUCCGCCACACUGGGACUGAGACACGGCCCAGACUCCUACGGGAGGCAGCAGUGGGGAAUUUUGGACAAUGGGCGCAAGCCUGAUCCAGCCAUGCCGCGUGUCUGAAGAAGGCCUUCGGGUUGUAAAGGACUUUUGACAGGGAAGAAAAGGGGCAUGUUAAUACCGUGCUCUGAUGACGGUACCUGAAGAAUAAGCACCGGCUAACUACGUG